This 1639-nucleotide ribosomal RNA is filed under the name human gut metagenome. Its description in RNAcentral is "bacterial LSU rRNA". It matches the Rfam family "Bacterial large subunit ribosomal RNA", at positions 564 to 2286 of the family's 2925-position model. The record is from RNAcentral.
UUACAAGCACUUAGAGCACGUCAAAGUGUGAUAAGGUACCUAUUGUAGAAUGGUCCGGCGAGUUAUUGUAUGCAGCGAGGUUAAGUAGUUCAGCUACGGAGCCGAAGUGAGAGCGAGUGUUAACAGCACGUUCAGUUGCAUGCAAUAGACCCGAAACCGGGUGACCUAUCCAUGUCCAGGAUGAAGUGAGGGUAAAACCUCAUGGAGGUCCGAACCCACUCCCGUUGAAAUGGUAGGGGAUGAGGUGUGGAUAGCGGAGAAAUUCCAAUCGAACCCGGAUAUAGCUGGUUCUCCCCGAAAUAGUUUUAGGACUAGCCUCGUGAUUAAGAUUAUCGGAGGUAAAGCACUGAAUGGCCUAGGGGUCGAGAGAUUACCGAAGCCUAUCAAACUCUGAAUGCCGAAUAAUCAUGCACGGGAGUCAGACUGUGUGAGAUAAGUUUCAUAGUCGAAAGGGAAACAGCCCAGACCUACAGCUAAGGUCCCAAAGUACGUUUAAGUGGAAAACGAUGUGAAAUUGCGUAGACAACCAGGAUGUUGGCUUAGAAGCAGCCAUACAUUAAAAGAGUGCGUAAUAGCUCACUGGUCGAGUGACUUUGCGCGGAAAAUUUAACGGGGCUAAAACGUACACCGAAGCUUAGGCUUGCAACUAUGUUGCAGGGGUAGGGGAGCGUUGAAUGAGGGGUGAAGUCGUAGCGAAAGCGACGGUGGACUUCAUUCAAGUGAGAAUGCCGGAAUGAGUAGCGAGAAUUAUGUGAGAAUCAUAAUGGCCGAAAGCCUAAGGUUUUUGGAGGAAGGUUCGUCCGCUCCAAGUAAGUCGGAAGCUAAGGUGAGGCUGAAAAGCGUAGCCGAUGCACAAACGGUUGAAAUUCCGUUACCACAGAAAGAUUUAAACUAAGGGACACUUUUGAAGAGCUGAUGCCGGGUGUUGGUUACCCCGGUCGUAAGGGAACGAAAUUAGAGUAGUGAAGUCAGCGUGGAUGAAGGCGAGAAAAGCUUAGUGUAUAUCUUAUGUGUCCGUACCGCAAACCGACACAGGUAGGUAGGAAGAGAAUUCUAAGGCCAACGGGAGAAGGGUAGUUAAGGAACUCGGCAAAAUGUCCCCGUAACUUCGGAAUAAGGGGAGGUUUCUACGGAAACCCGCAGAGAAUAGUCCCAGGCAACUGUUUAUCAAAAACACAGCUCUAUGCUAAAUCGAAAGAUGACGUAUAUGGGGUGACGCCUGCCCGGUGCCGGAAGGUUAAGAGGAGGAGUGAGAGCCCUGAAUCGAAGCCCCGGUAAACGGCGGCCGUAACUAUAACGGUCCUAAGGUAGCGAAAUUCCUUGUCAGGUAAGUUCUGACCCGCACGAAUGGCGUAAUGAUCUGGGAGCUGUCUCAACUGCCCGCCCGGCGAAAUUGUAGUACCGGUGAAGAUGCCGGUUACCCGCGACUAGACGGAAAGACCCCAUGGAGCUUUACUGUAGCUUAAUAUUGGAUUUCGGCAUUUCAUGUACAGGAUAGGUGGGAGACUAGGAAACAUAGGCGUCAGCUUAUGUGGAGUCGUCCUUGGGAUACCACUCUUGGAGUGCUGAAAUUCUAACCUGCAGCCCUGAAUCGGGUUGGGGGACAUUGUUAGGUGGGCAGUUUGACUGGGGCGGUCGC